CCUUAACCCUACCCCUAACCCUAGAUGUGUUGAUUGCCAAGGCCCUGGGAUGAAAUUCUCAAGAGAAGAACCUUGGAAGCUGAGAAUUGGAACCGGUUGCCAUAAGGUCCACUUUUGGAUUGCCCCAAUGUUGUGUCAGAUGACUGAAGACCUUCGGGUGUAACUGCCAUUUGUUGAGGUCUAGGUGAUGGCAACUGAGAUAAUCUGCUCUGGAGUUCUCUUCUCCCGGAACAUACAUAGCCACAAGCCCCAAAACCAUUACUUGAGCCCAAUUCAUGAUUGGUUCCAGUUGCCUUGUCUGUUUAUGUAUGAAACUGCUGUGUGGUUGUCCAUCCUUAUCUUUACUCAUUUCCCCUUUCCCCUUUUCAUCCUGGAAAUGCAGAAGAGCCAUCUAAGUUGCUCUGAGUUCCAGAAGGUUCACUGGAAUAUCAGAGGCCUUGUGAUUCCACAUGCCUUGAAAAUUCCUGUGAAGUAGAUUUGCUUCCCAACCUGUACCGCUGGCAUCC
Non-coding RNA from Pelobates cultripes (western spadefoot toad), 506 nucleotides. The record is from the annotation of a GenBank genome assembly. NCBI's taxonomy places the organism in Eukaryota, Metazoa, Chordata, Amphibia, Anura, Pelobatidae.